RNAcentral lists this ribosomal RNA (555 nucleotides) under Fusarium oxysporum. Its description in RNAcentral is "eukaryotic LSU rRNA". The stretch from base 203 to 356 matches the Rfam family "5.8S ribosomal RNA". The record is from RNAcentral. Lineage: Eukaryota; Fungi; Ascomycota; Sordariomycetes; Hypocreales; Nectriaceae.
GAAGUAAAAAGUCGUAACAAGGUCUCCGUUGGUGAACCAGCGGAGGGAUCAUUACCGAGUUUACAACUCCCAAACCCCUGUGAACAUACCACUUGUUGCCUCGGCGGAUCAGCCCGCUCCCGGUAAAACGGGACGGCCCGCCAGAGGACCCCUAAACUCUGUUUCUAUAUGUAACUUCUGAGUAAAACCAUAAAUAAAUCAAAACUUUCAACAACGGAUCUCUUGGUUCUGGCAUCGAUGAAGAACGCAGCAAAAUGCGAUAAGUAAUGUGAAUUGCAGAAUUCAGUGAAUCAUCGAAUCUUUGAACGCACAUUGCGCCCGCCAGUAUUCUGGCGGGCAUGCCUGUUCGAGCGUCAUUUCAACCCUCAAGCACAGCUUGGUGUUGGGACUCGCGUUAAUUCGCGUUCCCCAAAUUGAUUGGCGGUCACGUCGAGCUUCCAUAGCGUAGUAGUAAAACCCUCGUUACUGGUAAUCGUCGCGGCCACGCCGUUAAACCCCAACUUCUGAAUGUUGACCUCGGAUCAGGUAGGAAUACCCGCUGAACUUAAGCAUAUC